Molecule: ribosomal RNA, 253 nt
Filed under: uncultured bacterium
Lineage: Bacteria
Description: partial 16S ribosomal RNA
Rfam family: Bacterial small subunit ribosomal RNA
Source: RNAcentral
GACGAACCGUGCAAACGUUAUUCGGAAUCACUGGGCAUAAAGGGCGCGUAGGCGGCCCGCUAAGUCGAACGUGAAAUCCCCGAGCUCAACUCGGGAACUGCGUCCGAUACUGGAGGGCUUGAAUCCGGGAGAGGGAUGCGGAAUUCCAGGUGUAGCGGUGAAAUGCGUAGAUAUCUGGAGGAACACCGGUGGCGAAGGCGGCAUCCUGGACCGGCAUUGACGCUGAGGCGCGAAAGCUAGGGGAGCAAACGGG